This 162-nucleotide ribosomal RNA is filed under the name Romanoa tamnoides. Its description in RNAcentral is "5.8S ribosomal RNA". It matches the Rfam family "5.8S ribosomal RNA". Rfam says of the family: 5.8S ribosomal RNA (5.8S rRNA) is a component of the large subunit of the eukaryotic ribosome. The record is from RNAcentral. Lineage: Eukaryota; Viridiplantae; Streptophyta; Magnoliopsida; Malpighiales; Euphorbiaceae.
AACGACUCUCGGCAACGGAUAUCUUGGCUCUCGCAUCGAUGAAGAACGCAGCAAAAUGCGAUACUUGGUGUGAAUUGCAGAAUCCCGUGAAUCAUCGAGUUUUUGAACGCAAGUUGCGCCUGAAGCCUUUUGGUCGAGGGCACGUCUGCCUGGGUGUCACGC